CUAUGCACCAUUCCUACUUGAGGAUUUUUUCCCCUCCCCGGGAAUCUUCUCAAGUGCUUCCCCAGCUGCUGGUCUAUAACAGUUUUUCAGCCGUGGCAAAUGAAGUCAUCACAUACCAGAGCGUUCCUAAGUCUGCUUUGUCAAAACUCUGGUAGGGGAAGAGGCCGAUCGUGCCUUGAGUACCACACACCAAAAGACCUGAUGUGUAAAUCGGCCCUCUUCCACCUUCCAAGAC
Podarcis raffonei (Aeolian wall lizard) is the source of this 235-nucleotide long non-coding RNA. RefSeq lists it as uncharacterized. NCBI's taxonomy places the organism in Eukaryota, Metazoa, Chordata, Lepidosauria, Squamata, Lacertidae. The transcript is spliced from 2 exons. The record is from RefSeq and is a predicted model, not a curated record.